UUUAUAUGAGAGUUUGAUCCUGGCUCAGGAUAAACGCCGGCGGUGUGCCUAAUACAUGCAAGUCGUACGCACUGGCCCAACUGAUUGAUGGUGCUUGCAUCUGAUUGACGAUGGAUCACCAGUGAGUGGCGGACGGGUGAGUAACACGUAGGUAACCUGCCCCGGAGCGGGGGAUAACAUUUGGAAACAGAUGAUAAUACCGCAUAACAACAAAAGCCGCAUGGCUUUUGUUUGAAAGAUGGCUUUGGCUAUCACUCUGGGAUGGACCUGCGGUGCAUUAGCUAGUUGGUAAGGUAAAGGCUUACCAAGGCGAUGAUGCAUAGCCGAGUUGAGAGACUGAUCGGCCACAAUGGAACUGAGACACGGUCCAUACUCCUACGGGAGGCAGCAGUAGGGAAUCUUCCACAAUGGGCGCAAGCCUGAUG
This 425-nucleotide ribosomal RNA is filed under the name Limosilactobacillus reuteri. Its description in RNAcentral is "bacterial SSU rRNA". It matches the Rfam family "Bacterial small subunit ribosomal RNA", at positions 1 to 388 of the family's 1533-position model. The record is from RNAcentral. Lineage: Bacteria; Bacillati; Bacillota; Bacilli; Lactobacillales; Lactobacillaceae.